AAUAAUCUCCACCCCCUGCCGAGGCUUCAACAUUAUAUCUAUCCCUCCUUGCUCUAGCGGGCAGCAAGAAGCACAGCACCGCCAGUUACCACGCAGACAUCCUGGGGAACUGAGGUGCCAGGGAUUGAACUUGGAUCACCAGGCUUGGAGGCAAGCACCUUUGACAUACUAAGCCACUGCCGUCCAUAAGAACAUUACACAAAGACCUGGAAUCUUCAAAGCCAAGCUGUGUAUGAUACACAGAAGUGGGAAAGAGGCAAAUCAUUUAUUUGUUACUAGGUACUUUUUCUUGUGGGAAGAAAGUUUUUUGUUAAUUCACUCAACAUUUAUUGAGAGAUGCAAGCCAUCAAAGAAAUGGCCCCUCCAGAAACUAGACACUACAGACCAAGGGUGAACGCCUAGCCUGGAUCACC
Molecule: long non-coding RNA, 413 nt
Filed under: Mus musculus (house mouse)
Lineage: Eukaryota; Metazoa; Chordata; Mammalia; Rodentia; Muridae
Description: antisense Igf2r RNA, transcript variant 2 (Airn)
Source: RNAcentral